This 266-nucleotide small nuclear RNA is filed under the name Echinops telfairi (small Madagascar hedgehog). Its description in RNAcentral is "7SK RNA (ENSETEG00000025199.1)". It matches the Rfam family "7SK RNA", at positions 42 to 331 of the family's 331-position model. Rfam says of the family: 7SK was discovered as an abundant small nuclear RNA in the mid-70s but a possible function has only recently been suggested. Two independent studies have found that 7SK RNA binds the CDK9/cyclin T complex (known as elongation factor P-TEFb). P-TEFb activates transcription by phosphorylating the C-terminal domain of RNA polymerase II. Lineage: Eukaryota; Metazoa; Chordata; Mammalia; Afrosoricida; Tenrecidae. The record is from RNAcentral.
GGUCUUGGUGGUUGAUUUGGCUGGAAUGGCUGGCUAGGUCGUGUCCCCUCCCUUCCUCACCCUCCAUGCACGAUCCUCCAGAAGCUAUGAACCAGGUUGAAGAGGAUCAUCUUCCCCGAAAGGAGGAGGCCCAUUCUUCAGUCAACGGUACUUGAGUAACUAUGCUCCAGACAUAGAGAGCCUCCGAACAAGCUCGCAAAUGGAGUUCUGGGAGAUGCAAAUGGUUCAUGCACUCACCAACUAGCCCAAAGGUUAGGGGGUCCAGU